GACAGAUCAACUCAUUGAAAGCAGUCACGCACGAUCUCCAAACCUGUUGCUGAGAACGACUCUGCAAAUACAAAAAUCUGUUUAAUAACAACGCCACAAUACCGACAAUUCGUUCAAAAUUGUACGACUUCAGAAGCAAGAGGCUGAGGGCGGGGAUUUCUUUUUCUCUCAAAUCGAAGAAAAAAGAGCAAUUUGUGUAGGUGAAGAUAGGGUCAACGUUCACAAAGCUGUUCAUAGGUUAUUCGUGAACAAGGAGAUGAUAAUUUAUAGAUGUUGUGUUGCUUGUUUUUGCCAACAAACAAAGAUCUUUCAAAUGGAAUGAAUACUGCAUAACUUGUUCUUGAAGAACGAUGGUGGUCCUUUAAAGUGAAUAUUGUAAUAGAGGAAUGAUUGUUGGAACUUGUUCAGAACCAUAUAUAACACAACUCAUACCUAUAUUGAUCAUUGUUAUUGUAAAAUUGGGUCAAUGGUUGUACUUGUAAAAAGGGUUUAUGAGUUUAGUUGAACCAUUGUUAUGUAAUAUAUCAAAUUGAAUCAAUGAAAGAAUAUUUCAUUGUUGCUGC
This 563-nucleotide long non-coding RNA is filed under the name Medicago truncatula (barrel medic). RNAcentral describes it as "lncRNA gene25587". Lineage: Eukaryota; Viridiplantae; Streptophyta; Magnoliopsida; Fabales; Fabaceae. The record is from RNAcentral.